ACUUCGGUGUGAGUAAAGCGGCGGACGGGUGAGUAACGCGUAGGAAUCUACCUAGUAGUGGGGGACAACUCGGGGAAACUCGAGCUAAUACCGCAUACGCCCUACGGGGGAAAGCGGGGGACCUUCGGGCCUCGUGCUAUUAGAUGAGCCUGCGUUGGAUUAGCUAGUUGGUGGGGUAAAGGCCUACCAAGGCGACGAUCCAUAGCUGGUCUGAGAGGAUGAUCAGCCGCACCGGGACUGAGACACGGCCCGGACUCCUACGGGAGGCAGCAGUGGGGAAUAUUGCGCAAUGGGCGAAAGCCUGACGCAGCCAUGCCGCGUGUGUGAAGAAGGCCUUCGGGUUGUAAAGCACUUUCAAUUGGGAGGAAAGGUUCACGGUUAAUAACCGUGAGCUGUGACGUUGCCUUUAGAAGAAGCACCGGCUAACUCCGUGCCAGCAGCCGCGGUAAUACGGAGGGUGCGAGCGUUAAUCGGAAUUACUGGGCGUAAAGCGCGCGUAGGUGGUCUGUUAAGUCGGAUGUGAAAGCCCCGGGCUCAACCUGGGAACUGCAUCCGAUACUGGCAAACUAGAGUGCGGGAGAGGGAGGUAGAAUUCCAUGUGUAGCGGUGAAAUGCGUAGAUAUGUGGAGGAAUACCAGUGGCGAAGGCGGCCUCCUGGCUCGACACUGACACUGAGGCGCGAAAGCGUGGGAAGCAAACAGGAUUAGAUACCCUGGUAGUCCACGCCGUAAACGAUGUCUACUAGCUGUAGGGGUACUUGAGACCUUUGUAGCGCAGCUAACGCAAUAAGUAGACCGCCUGGGGAGUACGGCCGCAAGGUUAAAACUCAAAUGAAUUGACGGGGGCCCGCACAAGCAGUGGAGCAUGUGGUUUAAUUCGAUGCAACGCGAAGAACCUUACCAGGCCUUGACAUCCUCGGAACUUUCUAGAGAUAGAUUGGUGCCUUCGGGAACCGAGUGACAGGUGCUGCAUGGCUGUCGUCAGCUCGUGU
Molecule: ribosomal RNA, 991 nt
Filed under: uncultured marine bacterium
Lineage: Bacteria
Description: bacterial SSU rRNA
Rfam family: Bacterial small subunit ribosomal RNA
Source: RNAcentral